Molecule: long non-coding RNA, 2536 nt
Organism: Chlorocebus sabaeus (green monkey)
Lineage: Eukaryota; Metazoa; Chordata; Mammalia; Primates; Cercopithecidae
Source: RefSeq, a predicted model, not a curated record
CUUGACUACAGCACAUCCAUUUUCCUUUACAGCAUGUAGUACGUUUUAUACCUUUUUCUACAAUGAAUCUUCUAGGCAGAAAUUCCUGUACACAUCUUAUGAACAAAGAAUUUGAGCCUCAACGAGUUCUGGUGCUGGUGAUUAUUAAGUUCUUCACACUUAUCUCAUAGCGGAGCUUAAGAUUCUCACUCUGUCACCCAGGCUACAGUGCAGUGGUGCAAUCUCAACUCACUGCAACCUCUACCUCCUGGGUUCAAGCAAUUCUCCUACCUCAGCCUCCCAAGUAGCUGGGAUUACAGAGCUGAUGGUUUUUAAACAACUUGUGGUAAAACUCUGGUGGAAAAGAUAACAGCAGCAUAUGAUAUGGCAGAGUUGCCCAGAAGAAUCAGAACAUUGUUUUAGAGAAACGUUGGGCAAUUAAUUAAGCCAGCCGAUUAAGUUUUAAAGAAGCUAAACCGUAUCAUGUCGAAAUCAGAGGAGCGAUGAAAAUGUGAGUGGUGGUAUUUCUGCUGUUCUUCCCCAUAGAAGGCUUCUGCAAUUAGCUUCUAUGUCUUCCUUCCCUUAUGGGCAUUCAGAUCCAAACUACUUGCAACUGUAGACAAGGAGAAAGAUGGAACUUGGAGAAGACAUACAGGCUGAAGAAAAAAAAAUGUUUUGGAAGUGAUCUGCACAUUCUAAUUGACCAUGGAUACUCUCUGCAUUCAUGUGGUAACCCAGGGAGAGUAUGGAGUGAAAAGAGGAUCACCAAAGAAACUUGGGGAAUUACACACUAAUAGUGAAGAACAGGUGGCACCUGAAAUCACGGAAAAUGUAUUUGUCCUCAAUGCAAAGAUGAAUUAUAAAGAGCACUUUAUUGUGUUUGAAGAAUGUAGGAAUGAUGAAUGAAAUGGUGAAGGAAGUGGAUAAACAAUGAUGUAAUGACUUAGCCUCAUCUUUCAACUCAAUAAGCCAGUGAGGAACUUGGUAAAUUUGUUGAUUAUGUUUAGUUUUACAAUGCUUAAUUCUUUAUUAUUUUGAAGUGAUGUAUUUUAUUAUAAGGAAUGAUCAAUAGUAAUGCAUCCUCCAAAACUGUGGAAAGAUCAUAUUGUGCAAACUAGAGCACAAAAAUCACAUUCCUCCUGCAUGGGCAUGAAAUCUUUAUCAAAUGACAUCAGGCACUGAAGCAGCUAUCUGAUACCUUCCUUGCUUCCACCAAAUGGAAAGGUUAUUUUAGGAUUCUCUCUUUGUCUGUCUCUUAUGCUGCAAACAUAGUCACUCUCCUCAGUCAUCAUACUCACAAUACCACUCCCUUCACAAAUAAAGGACAAAUACUUAUUCAAGUUUCCAUGAAAAGGAGUAACUACUAAGACCUUGACAUUCUUGAAGAAGCAUAUAUUUGCUGUUCUAAGUAAUGUUUAUGAUCAAGGUUCUUGUGCAACCAGAUACGGUUUCUAACAGGAAGCUUAUAAAUUUUUCUUAUAAUUGCUGUCAAAACUGCAGUGAAGUGUACUACAAGUUUUGAUAAUAAAGAAUAAAGUCACAGUUCAAACUCGAUUAUAUUUUGGAAAUUCAUGCUCCUCUUACUAGAAGCAGUGGCCUUAAAUAUCUUCCCACCCUGCCAAAUUUUUCACUUGCACUUUUUAUUAUUUAUGAAAUCAGUCUCUGCACAAUGUCAUGCAGACCUCUGCUGAUAAACUCUAAUUAAGAUUAAGACAAGCCUUUUGGAAAGGAUCCCAUCAUUAGCAAACAUGAUAAACACAAAAAUACUCCCUACUUGUCAACCAGGAGCAAUUCAGUAACCUAACAGUAUUAUCUGUUGCUAGGUUACAGCGCUGACAAAGCUUCAAUUAUAUUGUUCCACCAUACCUAUAGAGUUCUGUAUAAGCAAAAUGUAUCCAGAAUAAAAGCUUUUAACUUCAUCCAUGCUAUCUGCAAUUCAUGGCUUCUUACAAUGGUAAAUAUCAGGUUAAUAAUUACAUAGCACGCUGAAAAAUCUUUUCCAGGUGUUAUGUCUAUACAUGUUUCUUUCUAAUUUAUCUGUGUGAUUGAUAGACGCUUGCUUUAUAAAAAUAAGGAAAUGCAAGCAACGUGAAGCUGUAAACCUCUAGCACAACUACGGGGGCUCAUCAAGAUAUGCACCUAAGCUUAGCAUAAAAAUAUAUAACAAAUUGAACCAAUUAAAUUACAUUUAGAUUUUGUAUUACUUUGCCUCAAUAUAUAGUAGGAUAAGGAGCCUCAGGCAAUAGAUAGGAAUAUCAGUGUGAAACUUUAUUUUAAGCUAAAAACAAACAAGCAAACAAACCGCACACAUUCUCACUAACAAUACAAAAGGAAAUAGAUGGUUUAAAAUAACAAGUUAUUCUAAUGGCUUUUCUAAAGACAUUUAAAAGUUAAAGUUAAUGACUUUUACUGCAUAGCAUCGUCAUUAAGUCUCAUUUCUCUUUUUUUAGACUAGGAAUUCUGGGGGAAAAAAUCAAUAAAACAUUCCCCACAAUACAGAUAUUUAAUAGGGAAAAACCAAAGUAAAAGACGUCUGUGUAAAAAAAAAAAAAAAAAA